AUAGUUGAACACUGUUUGUUGUGGUGGGCAGGAAUAAAAACCCACCCGGUGUGCAGUACACUGGGGCAGAAACACUGGGGCAGAAACACUGGGGCAGAAACACUGGGGCAGUACACUGGGGCAGUACACUGGGGCAGAAACACUGGGGCAGAAACACUGGGGCAGAAACACUGGGGCAGUACACUGGGGCAGAAACACUGGGGCAGUACACUGGGGCAGAAACACUGGGGCAGUACACUGGGGCAGAAACACUGGGGCAGUACACUGGGGCAGAAACACUGGGGCAGUAACACUGGGGCAGAAACACUGGGGCAGAAACACUGGGGCAGAAACACUGGGGCAGUACACUGGGGCAGAAACACUGGGGCAGUACACUGGGGCAGAAACACUGGGGCAGUACACUGGGGCAGAACACUGGGGCAGUACACUGGGGCAGUACACUGGGGCAGAAACACUGGGGCAGUACACUGGGGCAGAAACACUGGGACAGUACACUGGGGCAGAAACACUGGGCAGUACACUGGGGCAGAAACACUGGGGCAGUACACUGGGGCAGAAACACUGGGGCAGAAACACUGGGGCAGUACACUGGGGCAGAAACACUGGGGCAGUACACUGGGGCAGUACACUGGGGCAGAAACACGGGCGCAGAAACACUGGGGCAGUACACUGGGGCAGAAACACUGGGGAAGUAACACUGGGGCAGUACACUGGGGCAGUACACUGGGGCAGAAACACUGGGGCAGUACACUGGGGCAGAAACACUGGGGCAGAAACACUGGGGCAGUACACUGGGGCAGAAAAACUGGGGCAGUACACUGGGGCAGAAACACUGGGGCAGUACACUGGGGCAGAAACACUGGGGCAGUACACUGGGGCAGAAACACUGGGGCAGAAAAACUGGGGCAGUACACUGGGGCAGAAACACUGGGGCAGAAACACUGGGGAAGUACACUGGGGCAGUACACUGGGGCAGAAACACUGGGGCAGUACACUGGGGCAGAAACACUGGGGCAGUACACUGGGGCAGAAACACUGGGGCAGAAACACUGGGGCAGAAACACUGGGGCAGUACACUGGGGCAGAAACACUGGGGCAGAAACACUGGGGCAGAAACACUGGGGCAGUACACUGGGGCAGAAACACUGGGGAAGUACACUGGGGCAGUACACUGGGGCAGUACACAGGGGCAGAAACACUGGGGCAGAAACACUGGGGCAGUACACGGGGGCAGAAACACUGGGGCAGUACACUGGGGCAGUACACUGGGGCAGUCUGUAUUUUAGGAGUUUCGUAUGUUACAAGGAGCUGACAAUUCUACAUGAUAGAGAAUAA
RNAcentral lists this long non-coding RNA (1335 nucleotides) under Oncorhynchus kisutch (coho salmon). RNAcentral's name for it is "lncRNA (ENSOKIG00005041875.1)". Lineage: Eukaryota; Metazoa; Chordata; Actinopteri; Salmoniformes; Salmonidae. The record is from RNAcentral.